UGGGGAAUAUUGCACAAUGGAGGGAACUCUGAUGCAGCAACGCCGCGUGCGGGAUGACGGCCUUCGGGUUGUAAACCGCUUUCAGCCAUGACGAAGCUUUUGUGACGGUAGUGGUAGAAGAAGCACCGGCUAACUACGUGCCAGCAGCCGCGGUGAUACGUAGGGUGCGAGCGUUGUCCGGAAUUAUUGGGCGUAAAGAGCUUGUAGGCGGUUUGUCGCGUCGAUAGUGUAAACACGCAGCUUAACUGUGUGCCUGCUGUCGAUACGGGCUGACUAGAGGAGGGUAGGGGAGGAUGGAAUUCCCGGUGGAGCGGUGGAAUGCGCAGAUAUCGGGAGGAACACCAGUGGCGAAGGCGGUUCUCUGGACCUUUCCUGACGCUGAGAAGCGAAAGCGUGGGUAGCAAACAGG
This 409-nucleotide ribosomal RNA is filed under the name Fusobacteriota bacterium. RNAcentral describes it as "Fusobacteria bacterium partial 16S ribosomal RNA". It matches the Rfam family "Bacterial small subunit ribosomal RNA", at positions 355 to 776 of the family's 1533-position model. Lineage: Bacteria; Fusobacteriati; Fusobacteriota. The record is from RNAcentral.